GACUACUGGGGUAUCUAAUCCUGUUUGCUCCCCACGCUUUCGUGCCUCAGUGUCAGUUACAGUCCAGCAACUCGCCUUCGCCACUGGUGUUCCUCCUAAUAUCUACGCAUUCCACCGCUACACUAGGAAUUCCAGUUGCCCCUCCUGCACUCAAGUCCAACAGUUUUAGUAGUAGUGCCGAGGUUGAGCCCCGGAGUUACGCUACUAACUUGCUGAACCACCUACGCACCCUUUACGCCCAGUCAUUCCGGAUAACGCUUGCCUCCUACGUAUUACCGCGGCUGCUGGCACGUAGUUAGCCGAGGCUUAUUCCUAAGGUACCGUCACUUUCUUCUUCCCUUAGAAAAGAACUUUACAAUCCGAAGACCUUCAUCAUUCACGCGGCGUUGCUGGGUCAGAGUUGCCUCCAUUGCCCAAUAUUCCCCACUGAUGCCCCCCGUAGG
Molecule: ribosomal RNA, 443 nt
Filed under: uncultured bacterium
Lineage: Bacteria
Description: partial 16S ribosomal RNA
Source: RNAcentral